RNAcentral lists this ribosomal RNA (450 nucleotides) under uncultured soil bacterium. Its description in RNAcentral is "bacterial SSU rRNA". It matches the Rfam family "Bacterial small subunit ribosomal RNA", at positions 26 to 518 of the family's 1533-position model. The record is from RNAcentral.
AGAACGAACGCUGGCGGCAGGCUUAACACAUGCAAGUCGAACGGUUGUAGCAAUACAGCAGUGGCAGACGGGUGAGUAACACGUGGGAACCUUCCUAGGGGUACGGAACAACUCAGGGAAACUUGAGCUAAUACCGUAUACGUCCGUGAGGAGAAAGAUUUAUCGCCCCUAGACGGGCCCGCGUAGGAUUAGGUAGUUGGUGAGGUAACGGCUCACCAAGCCUACGAUCCUUAGCUGAUCUGAGAGGAUGAUCAGCCACACUGGGACUGAGACACGGCCCAGACUCCUACGGGAGGCAGCAGUGGGGAAUCUUGGACAAUGGGCGCAAGCCUGAUCCAGCCAUGCCGCGUGAGUGAAGAAGGCCUUCGGGUUGUAAAGCUCUUUUACCAGGGACGAUAAUGACGGUACCUGGAGAAUAAGCCCGGACAAACGUUCGACGCCAGCAGUCGC